This is a long non-coding RNA of Hemicordylus capensis (graceful crag lizard), 2954 nucleotides long. RefSeq lists it as uncharacterized. The record is from RefSeq and is a predicted model, not a curated record. The transcript has 3 exons. NCBI's taxonomy places the organism in Eukaryota, Metazoa, Chordata, Lepidosauria, Squamata, Cordylidae.
UGUGCCCUUCAUGAGUGUUCUGAUGUACAGAGGUUUUGAGCUUUGGGUUCAACGUUGGAUUGAAGUUUUGAUAUGAAUAUUUCUAGGUUACCAAGGGCUAGUUUGCACAUGCCUAUUCAUGACUGCAGUAUGAGAUCAUGACUUCCACAAGUUACUGAACCAUCACAGAUGCAGCACCUCAUAUCACUUCAGAUUUCCAGCUGAGUUGGUUCACUCCUUCAUCUGUGGAUAAUCAAAUACUGAAUAGUCAAUGAAGAGCAAUACAGAGAUGCAUUUGCAUAUAUGGACCAGUCUUAUCCACAUUGAUGCUGCAUAUCCAGAGCUCUAAAGAGCAUGCAUUAGCCACAUGCCUGCUUCCAAAGCUCAAGCACUGAGCAGGCAUAUGAGCUAUAUGAGCAUAUACUUGUUGCACAUAUGCUUUUGGGGGCUCCAUGUGUGCAGUGAUAGUGUGGAUGUUGGCCAGUAUAUAUAUGUAUAUAAAAUAGAUUCCUGAUUAUUUUCUAUUAGAAAACUGCUCCAGUAGUUUGGUACAGCCAAGUAACUGUAAUGCUAAAUUUCAUAUUCUGGCCAGUUUGUAUGUGAUUGACUCUAGAUAGAAUAUAAGUAAGUGUGUGUGUGUGUGUGUGUGUGUACACAUAAACACAGAGAGACUCUCUUGUGCAGCACCAUUGGUGUGUGUUAAAGCCUACACACACAGUCUCAAUGAUUCAGAACUACCCAUGUUAUAUUGCAGGGCUUGUCAAGCAGUAUUAGUGGGAGCUGAUCCUUAUGGCUGUACACAGAGCCUCUUGGAUGUAAAUAUUUUCUGAGAUGUAUUAUCUUUGGCUUUGUUUCCUGAAAGAUACAUUCCACAUUGGCAAAUGACGUGGAUUGGAACCAGUCCAAGACAAUUGAAUACAUAAUUUUGGAGUGGGUCCUAGGACAAAAGAUGGACAAACUAUUUAUGACAAGCAAAAUGAGUUCUGCCUUUAUUAAAAUACUUUCAAUGUAGUGGCUCAGUUUUCCCAGUUCAGAUAGAGCAGAUGGCUUAUCUUGUAUUUACUCUCUAUCACCAUUCUAAAUUCACAUAUGGUGCAUGUGUUCUGUCAGGCAAUGCCCAAGGAGCAGAGCACAUCUGUCAUCAAGAUUUUUAAAUUCAAGCAAAGGUGAGUCAAUGAAUAUACAUUAUAUAUAAUAACCAAGUUAAACAUCCCUAUGAAAGUAAGCUGCCCUGAGAUUUUAUAUAGGAUGGUAUAUAGAUGUGGCAAAUACAUAAUACAUAUAUACAUAUAGCCAUGGGAUUAAUAUUUAGAGCCCUGUGUAUAUGCUUGUUUACUUCUGAGAAUGCAGAGGUCAUUUGCCCUAUUAUAUAGAGAUAACAAUAUUGCUACCACAGUCAUUUACCAGGAAAAUGUUCUUCCCCACACCCCACAAUACAUAGACAGACCAUUACCUGUUCAGUGUUCAGUCAUGAACAUUUUCUCACCUUUUUAAUCAGCAAUGAAAUAAAAUAUUUUCAGUCUGUGAAAAAUACAUGCCUAUAAUUAUGGGAAACUUCAAGCCUGAUCUUCAAGACAAGACGCCAGCCAAAACCUUAUUGAGAGAAACUUCUUUGUUUAUCAUAUUUAUAUACUGCCUGAUUUUUUAUUUAUGUAGCAGAUUAUUUAACGCGGCCUUUGUCUCAAAGAAAACUCACAUGAGGGGAAGAAAAAUGCUGAAUCAUCCUCUCUCUUGCUUUCACCCUCAAAGGCUGUUCCCUUAACUUAAACUUUCCUCUUUCAUUAGUAGCUGAUUCACUGCCACCACACCCUAAUUUAUUACAAUUUGUCCCCCCCUGGAUUUGGGUGAAUGUCCAAGGAGACUCUCCUUCUCUUUACUAUUGGAAAAGUACACAAAAACCUCCAUGUGCAAGCCUACACAUGAUGAGAAAUCCUGGUAGAGUUGCUGAGCAAUCAAAUUGAGGCAUGUGUUGCACCAGAGACAAAAACCCAAUAGAGCCCCGCCCCUGUCCUGAGUUAAAAAAUCCACUCCAGGAGGCUGGUUAAAAUUGUAAAGGACAAAAAUGAAAAUAAACUUCAUUUAAAAUACUACAGACUGCUUCCAUCUGAGGCUUUCUCAGCUUUUAGUUACAGGUAAAAGGAACACUCAGUAACUACAAGAAUACUUCAAGGAGCACCCUCAGAUUACAUUGGGGUAGCACACUUGGUUAACCAGUUGCAAAGAACAUAGAUGUAAGAAAAUACAAAAAGCCCCCUUUAAGAGUUUACAGAGACUUUUGCAACGCUGUGCUGGAAUGGCGCUGGCUCAGUUUCUCUUAACUUGUUACGUUACAGAUAACAAACAAUAAAACAGUUUAAGGAUUAGCAAAGCACACCAAAGGAAAAUAAGAAGUCUAAUAUGAGCUAACUAACAAACUGUUCCCUGGCUAAACCCUUCCCCAAAGCAAAAGCCCUGACUUCCUUCCUGAACUCACCAAAUCCAUGGUAGAGACUUCAGGCCCCUGCCGUCCUAACUUUCCAGGAUUGCAGUCCUCCUGGUUGCAACUAUGUGCCUGACCAGCCAACCUGUUGUUAGCCCUGCCUGACUCCAACUAAACAAAGAAACCCUUCUCUUCCUGCUGCAACACUAGGUCCCGCCUAACAUGUGCUGAGUGGCUGAUCCCUAGAGGUCACUGCCUGUCAGUCAAGGCAGGGUUCACUUCUGGUUCACUCUUCAUUAUUUAUUUAUUUGAUUUCUAUACUGCCCUUCCAAAAAUGGCUCAGGGCGGUUUACACAGAGAAAUAGCAAAUAAAUAAGAUGGCUCCCUGUCCCCAAAGGGCUCACAAUUUUUAAAAGGAACAUAAGAUAGACACCAGCAACAGUCACUAGAGGUACUGUUCUGGGGGUGGAUAGGGCCAGUUACACUCCCCCUGCUCAAUAAAGAGAAUCACCACAUUAAAAAGGUGCCUCUUUACCCAGUUAGCAGGGGUUGCCCA